UGGUCACAACAUAGGGUACCUUGAAGAGUUCAAGAGGUACUGUUCUCACUGUGGAGUGGACUUCUUCUUUCAAGAGAAAGUCUAUUGAAAGGAAGAAGGCUAAAUUCAUAAAGAAGUAGAAGAGAGGAGCAAGCCAAAAAAAGAUGGUCCAAAGACAGCUAACGCAAAGGAAAAGUAUUUCCACCAUCAUGCUGAAGGCCAC
This 202-nucleotide long non-coding RNA is filed under the name Elaeis guineensis (African oil palm). RNAcentral's name for it is "long non-coding RNA (EGUI_LNC049979)". Lineage: Eukaryota; Viridiplantae; Streptophyta; Magnoliopsida; Arecales; Arecaceae. The record is from RNAcentral.